Molecule: long non-coding RNA, 415 nt
Organism: Dreissena polymorpha
Lineage: Eukaryota; Metazoa; Mollusca; Bivalvia; Myida; Dreissenidae
Exons: 3
Source: RefSeq, a predicted model, not a curated record
CUUUUCUCUACCCCCUACACCCGCUGACCAAAAUGUGUACAACACGUAUUUGCUUUCGGACGGCUCUGUUACAACCUUCCGGGUGGUUCAAUCGCUCAUGACUUUCAUCGACGCCCAAGCCAACUGCGCAGCUGAAGGGGCGACUCUGGCUAGAAUAACAACCGUUCCAAAGAUGCAGCUGUUACAACACAUAAUGCGGACCUGGGGACCAGUAACCGGAUAUACUGACCAUUGGAUAAGUGGUUUGCUUCAAGUUGGGGCGUAUGGCAAUCAAUGGGUGACUGAACACAAUGAGGUUAUUCCGACAACUGGGGACUUCUGGAUCCACUCAAACCCAUACACACUAGAUCCGGACAUGCGUGCCGCAAUGUAUUACACAUCGUUUUUCUUCAAGGAACUUCCUUGGUUUGAUACU